CCUUCAGUGAUAAACCAUCAUUUGUUUUGUUCAAGGCACUGCAACUUUCAUUUUGUAUAUUUUUAUGCAUUAUAAAUGACUCUUUUAUUUUUCUCAUUAGGUUUCUAUUUUUUGUUUCUUUUCGUUUUUGUUUUUUAUUUGCAAUAUGUGGGAUGGUUGGUUUAGAAAGCCCCCCACCCCAUGGUGGAAUAGGUGAUCUGUUCCUUUCAGAGUUCUUUAUGUAGUCUUGUUUUUUUAAAUUAAUUUAUUUUUGGUUGCGUUGGGUCUUUGUUGCUGUGCACGGGCUUUCUCUAGUUGUGGUGAGAGGGGGCUACUCUUCAUUGCGGUGCGCAGGCUUUGCGCAGGCUUCUCAUUGCAGUGGCUUCUCUUGUUGCAGAGCACGGGCUCUAGGCAUGCGGGCUUCAGUAGUUGUGGUGCAUGGGCUUAGUUGCUCCGUGGCAUGUGGGAUCUUAGUUCCCGGACCAGGGCUCGAACUGGUGUCCCCUACAUUGGCAGGUGGAUUCUUAACCACUGUGCCACAAGCGAAGUCCCAAGAUCACUUAUCAAAGAAAAAUAUAUUAUUUUUGGUUGAGAACAAAUUCUAACUGGAGAAUAUAGGGUGUCAGUUGUCAAGUCGGAAGUAGCACAGAUCUUAUUUUCUCUGCAACAUACUUUGGCUCUCAAUGUCACUACAUCACUGGAAAAUGGCAGGAUAGCUUCCAGGCAUUUGGCAAUGGAGAGUCUCUCCUUGUCACAAACUAUAGUUGGAAUUUUGGGGUCUUUCUUUUUUUAAAAAAAAAAAAGCAACAAAUUUAUUUAUUAAAUAAAUAUUCUUGAUGUUAAACUAUUAUUGAAUAUAUGAUUUACAAAUAUUUUGUAUUAUACCAUACAUUGUUUUUUCACUCUGCUGAGUAUGGUUUAGUGCACAAUAGUUAAUAGUUACGAUGUAGUCCAAUUUAUCUGUUUUUAGUUUGUUGGCCUGAGCUUUUGCUGUUAUAUCUGAUAAAUCAUUGGUGAAUCCAAUGUUAAUCUUUUUUUGUAAAUUUACUUAUAGGAGUUUUAUUCACUAGGAUUUUAGGUUUAGAUCUUUGAAGCAUUUUGAGUUAAUACAAUAAUGGUCCAACUAAAUUCUUCUGCAUGUGGAUAUCCAGUUUUCUCAACACCUUUUGUUCCAUAGACUGCCCUUCCCCCAUUAUGUGGUCUUGACAAGCUUGCGGAACAUCAUUUGACCUUAUACACGAAAGUGUUUUUCUCAAUCUCUUGUGUUCCACAGGUCUCUCUGUCUUUAUGCCAGUACCAUACUGCUUUGAUUAGUGUAGCUUUGGAAAAAGUUUUGAAAUAAAGAAAUGUGAAUUGUGUGACUUUGUUUUCAAGCUUCUUUUUGCUAUUCAUUGUGUCCUGAAAUUCCACAGGAAUUGUAGGAUUGAUUCAUCUGUUUCUUCAGCAAAGCGGUAUUGGGAUUUGGGAUUACACUAGGGAUUAUUUUGAAUAUCCUGAUAACUUUGGCUAGUAUUGACAUCUUGACAAUAUCAGCUUCAAAUCCAUGAACUUGGGUAUCUUUGCAUUUAUUUGUGUCUUCUCUAAUAUGUUUCAGAAGUCUUUAUUUUGCAGUAGUUACAAAUCCUUCCCUUCUUGUAUAAUGUUAUGUUUAAGUACUCUUCUUUUUUGAUUCUAUUGUAAAUUGAAUUGCUUUGAUUGUUCUUUUUUUUUUUUCCGGUACGCGGGCCUCUCACUGCUGUGGCCUCUCGCGUUGCGGAGCACAGGCUCCGGACGCGCAGGCUCAGUGGCCAUGGCUCACGGGCCCAGCCGCUCCGUGGCAUGUGGGAUCUUCCCGGAACGGGGCAUGAACCCGUGUCCCCUGCAUCGGCACGUGGACUCUCAACCACUGCGCCACCAGGGAAGCCCUGCCCUAUUCAUUUUUAAUGUUUAGAAACCCAGUUGGUUUUUGCAUGUUGAUGUUGUAUCUAGUAAUUUUUUUGAAGUCUUUCAUUAUUUCUAUAAGUUUUUUUUUACUUAUUAAUGUUGCAGAAUGCCUGUUAUGGGUAUGUCAUUUUGUAGAAGAUAUUUAGAAAAAUGUUUUCAUAAAAACUGUCCUAUUGAAUUCUUUUUCUCUAUGGUAUAUAUGUUUUAUAAUUCUAAACAGCGACAUAUUAUUAGAUAAGCUUGUUUUGGAUUUUUUAGCAUUACAGUAUAUUGUGUGUUCAUUAACAUUUACUUAUGUACACCAGGUAUGCAGAAUAUAUCUGUAGUAUAAUGUAUUUUUCUCAGAGACAGCAGUAUGUUUACUGUAAAUUGGUACAUGCUUUGGAGUCAUGGUGGAAAAAUUGCGUUCUUUUGAGAGCUGACGUCCGUUUUUCCUGUAUGAGUGUUUUUGUCAUAGCGGGUUUGCAAGUAGUCUCCUCUAAAAUCAAUUUGAAUUAUAUUUUAUAACUCUUUUUUUAGUAAACAAUUCUAUUGCUUUAGUGUUUCUAAUAAUUUUAAGAUCAUAAUUGGGCAAUUUCAAAUUUUUAAAAAAAUUUAAAAAAAAUACAUAGUUGGGAAGUUUUACAACUGUGUUUGGUAUAAGUAUUACCUUUGGUGUAAUAUCAUAUAUUCAACAUGAAACAGUUAAUUUUGAA
Molecule: long non-coding RNA, 2597 nt
Organism: Orcinus orca (killer whale)
Lineage: Eukaryota; Metazoa; Chordata; Mammalia; Artiodactyla; Delphinidae
Exons: 2
Source: RefSeq, a predicted model, not a curated record